RNAcentral lists this long non-coding RNA (23563 nucleotides) under Pelobates cultripes (western spadefoot toad). The record is from RNAcentral. Lineage: Eukaryota; Metazoa; Chordata; Amphibia; Anura; Pelobatidae.
CAAUAAUAGGGUUUAAAUAGCUUUGAAAAAUAUCUUAGUAUUUGGAAAAUUUGUAAUAUGAAUUAUAGUAAGUAGGUCUGUUUUGCAUGAAGCAAGAAGAAUGCAGUCCUGUUUUAGAGCCCUGGUGAAGCACUUACUAAGACGAUGACUACAGCAAUGGUAAGUAUGAAACACAUUUCACUGUCCAGUGCUGGGUUAAAUGUACCAUAGGUCUGGAGAUGUAUGUACGGUGCUCUUCUAAAUGACGAUUGAUCACAGUAAACAUUAAUAGGUCAUGGGGAGCCAUUCUAAAUGGCAGUAUGGGUGAAAGCCAUGACCAUGUGAAACCUCUUUUUGUUCCACUACCAUGAGCUCUAUUCCUUCUCAGAGAACACUCAAGAUAUUCAGAAUUAAUCCCAGUCUAAACCCAUAAAGGCCCAUACCAUAUAAAGGCUUAUUUAUCCUCUGCCAUUUUCCCCUGGUUUUAAUCCCUGGCGAUUUGCAGAUGUAAAGCACAGACUGUGGCUCCUUAGGGUACAGACUGUGAUUAGGUCUAUCUCUGAGAACAGUCUGCAUUAAUCAGAGCUAUACUGCCAGGAAAUGAUCUAAUAUGCUGGUGGAUUCCAUUCAGAAUGCAGACCGCAAAAUUUCCACCAUCUUCUGAUCUCCAUACUGGACCCAUAGUGCUGCAGCAGCACUGCCUAAAGCCUACUCUCAUAAUGAUGAAGAAGAGGAGAUGUCCGUGUAUUGUCACAGACCUGACAGUUGCAGUGCAUUGAAACAUGAAUUACAGGUAGCAGCACUACAUUAUUAAUUACAGAAAUUGUUUUUUCUCUGGCUUUUUGGGGCCUAUUACUUAACAACGGUCCUAGAGCACAUGUCCAAAUACGCCUCUAUUCCUGUCCAAUGUAACGUCGUCAUCUCACGAGGCUCUGAACUCGCUUAAGUUCAGUCAGGUAUUACUUCUGCCAUGUUCAUGUGUGCGACCAGAGCCAAAUUAAAGUUCCCCAGGGCAGGGUUCCAGAUUGGGUCCUCCUCCUAGAGCCAUGGGCUCUGUUUCUGUGAGUGGUGUAUGAGAGUGUGUGUAGUGGCUCUGUGUUGUGUAUGGAUGAGGCUGAAUGCUGUAUGUGGGGGCUGAGUGUGUCUGUGUCUCUUGCAUUGUGUGCAUGUUUAUGUGUCUGAGUGUUCUUGUGUGUACAUGUGUGUACAUGUGUGUACAUGUGUGUAUCUGUGUCUGAGAGCAUUUGCGUGUUUGGUAGUUGUUUGCAUUGUUUUGUUUGCAAAGGGGGUUGCUUGUGGACCCGGUGUGCUUAUGGUGAUGCUGUGAUUCAUGUGUGGAAGGUGACUGUGCAUGAUGAUGACUAUAUUCAGGGUUGACUGAGAUAUGGUCAGUAGGGUGUGGCUGUGGCAGAAUGAAGGGGGUAAAUGUGAUAGGGAGCGGGGCAUGAUUGUGGCUAUGUUUGGGGGUGAGUGUGACAGGAUUUGAGGUUGGGGAGACUGUGACAGGGUUUGGGGGUAGGUUUGACAGGCUAUGUGGAAGAGUGUGGCAGGGUGAGGGAUGGUGAGUGUGCAACGAUUUAGAGGUGAGUGUUACAAGGUUAAUGUGGCAGUGUUAUAAGUGUGACAAUGUGAGUGACUGUGUCAUGCUGAGUGCAGGGUUGACAAGGUAUGGGAGCUGAGUUUGUGUAGAGGAGUUAAGUUAUAUUGGGAGGCUGUGUUGUACACACAUAGUAAUGCCUUUUAUUUUUUUUAUCACUUUUGCCCGCCUCCUGUGCAGUAAGGGUGGCAAUAAUACAUUCCCUGGUGGCAGAGGCGGCUUUGCAAGGCCUUUGCGAGGCCUUAGCCAAAACUCAAACAUUAGGCCCAUUAGCAUGUUUAUAAGAACCUGUAGAUAUAUUAAAUGGCAGGCUUGCAGUUUUGGAUCCAGAGACUCUGCAGGCCUGGACUGGCAAUCGGGCACACCGGGCAAAUGCCCGGUGGGCCGUGGUGGCCAGGGGACGAGGCCGGCCGGGGAGAUCAAAGUACUCCCUCACCGGCCCACAUGUAGUAUAUUGCGGCCACAUGUAAUAUAUUGGGAGAGAGGGAGACAGGAGGAACCCGGAGGAGCUCUAACUUGCAGCUCCGCCGGGGUCCUCUCGCGAGAUUCGGAGCAUUGCCAUGGCACCACCACUAGCACCACCAGGGAUGGAUAUAAGCAGCACGGCCCCCCCUCCCAGGCUAAAGGUAAGAACAGAGGGGGGAUAUAAUCACUCAUAGCACCCUCACUCACACACACACACACACCCUGCACCCCUGACACUCACAGCACCCUCACACACACACACACACACACACUCAAGCACCAACACACACACAAACACACACUCACAGCGCCCUUACUCACUCACACACACAUACACACACACUGCAUCUCUGACACUCACAGCACCCUCACUCACACAAACAAACACACUGUAACCCUGAAACUCACAGCACCCUCACUCUCACACACACAUACUGCACCCUAACACUCACAUAGCACCCUCACUCAAACACAGCACCAGCAGUCAAACACAGCACACACAUACUGCACCCUUGACACUCACAGCACCCUCACACACAAACACACACACACACACACACACUCAAGCACCCUCACACACUCACGGCACCAACACACACACUCACAGCACCCUCACACACACAUACACAGACACUGCACCCCUGACACUCACAGCACCCUCACUCACACAAUCACACACACAGCACCCCUGACACUCAUAGAACCUCACUCACACACACUGCACCCCUGACACUCACAGCACCCUCACUCACACACAUGCAUACACACUGCACCCCUGACACUCACAGCACCCUCACUCUCACACACACAUACUGCACCCUCACAUGCACAUAUCACCCUCACUCAAACACACCACCCUCACUCUCACACACACAUACUGCACCCUCACACUGCACCCCUGACACUCACAGCACCCUCACUCACACACAUGCAUACACACUGCAACCCUGACACUCACAGCACCCUCAGUCUCACACACACAUACUGCACCCUCACAUGCACAUAGCACCCUCACUCAAACGCAGCACCCAGCACUCAAACACAGCACACACAAACUGCACCCUCACACACAGCACCCUUACCCACACUCCCUGCACUUCUCUUGUGCACACACUACACCCCUAACACACACACAUCAUCCUAACACACACAGCACCCUUACUCACACACACACACUGCACCCCUGAUACUCACAGCACCUUCACACACACACACACACACACACUGCACCCCUGACACUCACAGCACUUUUACACACACAGACACUGCACCCUCACACACACACUGCACCCUCACACACUGCAUCCUUACCCACAUAGCACCCUCAUGCAAACACAGCACACAUCACUUACACACAGCACACACACACAUCACUCUCACACACACAAUGCACAAUACUCUCUCCUGGUAUUUUUGUCUCUUGGUAUCCCAUCUAUGGAGACACCAGAGACAAAUUUCAAGCAAACACAGUACAAGCAUGUUAUUAAAUUUGCUUGCGCUGUGCAGAACAAAUACAGGGUCCUUUUCUCAUGCUAGAGUUCUUCACACUCUGCCCUGGAAGAGCAUUGAACCAACAUGCUCACAUCGGUGAUGACAAAAAACACCCUAUGUGGCCCCACCCCUUUUUAGUGGGCCGCUGUAAUUAAAAAAUGCCCGGGCUGAAUUUUCUUCCCAGUCCGGCCUUGAGUCUCUGUAUUCAUCUUUAGAGGGUUGCAUUGUCGCAGCUCCCUAUGCCACUGCGUUGUGAGUUCUUUGACUGUAGUUAUGGCAUAAUAUGCAAGAAACAAAUUUAAUUUACAAUCAUGCUAAUCAUUUAUACACGAUUACUCGGUAUGGUUGUAUAGCCUGGCAGUCGUGUAUACAUAAGUGCCAGUGUAAAGGGGUUAUUGGUAACAAAAAUUAAAAUUUUGGUUUGGCUUUUAAAAAAUGUACCAUAUAAUAAAGUUACUGAUAAGAAAACAAUGUCAUAGACAUUUUCCCCUCAUUUGUAUGCAUAUAAUAUAUAUGUUGCUUCCAACUUUACCUUUGCAUUACCCAUACCAUACCACCUUCAAUUACAGACAUAGACAUACACACUAAUACAUGAACACAUAUAAACACUAAUACACAAACACAUAUAGACACUGAAACAAGCACAUACACCCCCCCCACACACACACACACAAAAACAAACACUGCUGCACAGAGACACAAAUAUUAACUAAAUGUGUAUUUAUCUGGCUGUGUGUAUUUGAGUGUGUCUCACUGUGUGUGUGCCCAAGAGUGUCUGACAGUGAGUGUUUUGUGUGUAUGUGCGGUGUUUUGUGUGUAUGUGGGUCUACCUGUGGCCUUUGUGCAUUUUGUUUAUGGCCAAGCUAUGUUUUAUGACUUUGUGUGUAUGAUGAUUGUCUUCAGGGGUGACUGUGACAAGGCAAAUGCCUUGUUUGCCUCGCGGCUAAAACGUCCCUAGGGCUGAGUGAGGGGUGACAGGGGGCUGAGUGAGGGGGUGACGGGUAGCUGAGUGAGGGAUGACAGCAGGGCCGCCACCACAAAUUUUGGGGCCCCUAACUCAGGGGGGCCCGCCACCAAAUACCUCCCACAGGAAUACACACACAGACACAAACACACACACUUAUACAAAAGGACACAGAUACAUACUAAAGUGAGUGUGUCAGGGUUAAGGGGGCAACAGUGUGUGUGGGAGUGUGGUGACAGUGUGGGGAGUGGUGACUGUGUGUGGAGGGGGUGACAGUGUUUGUGCAUGAAGGGGAAUGUCAGAGUGUGAAAUGGGCUGACAGAGUGCGAAAGGGUGGGAGAGUGUGAAAAGGUGGCGGAGUGUGGAAAGGGUGAGAGGUGGGAGGGAGGGGUUGACAGGUGGCUGAGUGAGGGAAGGAGGGGGUGACAGGUAGCUGAGUGAGGGGGUGACAGGGAGCUGAGUGAGGGAAGGAGGGGGUGACUGGGGGUUGAGUGAGGGGGUGACAGUUAGCUGAGUGAGAGGUGACAGGGGGCUGACAGACAGACAUACAGACAGACAUACAGACAUACAUACAGACAGACAUACAUAGACAUGCAUACAUACAUACAUACAGACAUACAUACAGACAGACAUAGACACACAUACAGACAGACAGACAAACAGACAUCCAGACAUACUAACAGACACACAUACUGAAACAGACAUACACGCAUACAGGCAUACAUACUGACACACACAUACUGAGACAUACACACAGGCAUACAUAGUGACAGACAGACACAUACUAACAUACAUACAGACACACAUGCAUGAGGACAUAAAGACACAUACAUACAUACAGACACCGACAUACAUACAUACACACAUACAUACAUACAUUCAUACAUACAGACAUACUGACAGACAUACAGACACUGACAUCCAUACACACAUACAUUCAUAAUGGCAUACAGACAUACACAGACAUACAUUCAUAAUGGCAUACAUACAUACAUACAUACAUACAUACUGUCACGUAUUCAUCCGCUUACAAAAAUGUGGUUAAUGACAUUUACUGUCCACACAGGAAAAGUUGUGCCGAGCAACAACCAAAUCCACAGAAGGGUUAAUGCUGAGCAGCAAUUAUGCAAAUGAGAUCUGUUAACUGCCUUUGGGGUCAAAGGCCGGUUACAGCCUAUCAGAUCUAGAGGAGGGGUAUUUAGGGCCAGUUCUCAUCCUGCUCACUGCCCUGUCGUGGUUUCCCUUGUGGUUGUCCGAGAGCGUGUUAUUGAUUCUGGUUAUUCAGGUUAUUUGACUUUGGCAUUGUUUUUGACUUCCAUGUUUUCUGGCAUCCCUGACUCCUGGCUUUUCCUUAUCGUUGUGUCUCUUUCUGUUUCCCUUGACCUCGGUAAUUCCUGACUAUUCUUUGGUACGUUAGUCCGGCCAUUCUAAGGUCCGGUAUACGUUACCUAUCAGUCCUCUGUGUUACACAGUUCUACAUGCUGGGUCAUUCUGUAAUCCUGACACAUACAUACAUUUAGACUGACAUACAUGCAUAUAUACAGACAUACUGACAGACAUACAUGGAUACAGACAUCCAUACACACAUAAUGAUAUGCAGAUAUACAUUCAUACUGACAUACAGACAUACAUAUAUAAUGACAUACAGACAUACAUAUAUACAUGCAUAGACAUACAUACAGACAGACAUACAUACAUACACAUACAUGCAUGCAUACAUACAGACAUACAUACAUACAUAAAGACAUACAUACAUACAUACAUGCACAUACAUACAGACAUACAUACAGACAGACAUAGACAUACAUGCCUGCAUACAUACAGACAUACAGACAUACAUGCACAUACAUACAGACAGACAUACAUAGACAUGCAUACAUACAUACAUACAUACAUACAUACAGACAUACUAACAGACACACAUACUGAAACAGACAUACACGCAUACAGGCAUACAUACUGACACACACAUACUGAGACAUACACACAGGCAUACAUAGUGACAGACAGACACAUACUAACACAUACUAACAUACAUACAGACACACAUGCAUGAGGACAUAAAGAAACAUACAUACAUACAUACACACAUACAUACAUACAUUCAUACACGUGGGGCCCGGGCGGCCAGGCCUCCCAGGGCCGCUGGGCCCCCUGAUGGCGGCCCUGGAUGACAGGGGGCAGAGUGAGGGAAGGAGGGAGUGACAGGGGGCAGAGUGAGGGGGUGAAAGGGAGCAGAGUAAGUGAAGGUGAUAGGGCUGAGUGGGGGGUGACAGAGGCAGAGUGGGGAAGGAGAGUGAGCCCAGGGGGCAGAGUGAGGGGUGAAAGGGGGCAGAGUAAGCGAAGGUGCUUUAGACCUGAGUGGGGGUAACAGGGGCAGAGUGAGGGUGCCACAGGGGCUGAGUGAGGGGGUUACAAGGGGCAGAAUGGGGAGGAGGUAACAGAGGGGCUGAGUAAGAAGAGGGGGACAUGGGGCAGAGUGAGGGGAGUGACAGGGGGCUCAGUGAGGGUGAUGGGCAAAGUGAGGGUACAGGAGGAGGGGUAACAGGGGGGCUGAGUGAGGGUGACAGGUAGCUGAGUGAGGGGGUGAUUGAGAGUGAGGGGUAACAGGGGGCAGAGUGAGGGAAGGAGGGGGUGACAGGGGCUGAAUGGGGGUGACAGGGGCAGAGUGAGGGGGUGACAGGGUUCAGAGUGAGGAUGUGAGAGGGGGAAAAGUGUGGGAAGGAAGGGGUGACAGGGGGUAAAGAAGAUAGGUAUUAGAAAUAUGUUUAUUUCCAAGGUGGUCGAGUCUCCUGGCUCCCUGGUGGUCCAGUGGCCUUCCUGUCCGGUCUGCGGGUGUGAGCUGCAGACCACGUGAUAGGAGUCUCGCGAUCUCCAGAAGCCAGAGCGUUGCUGUGGAAACCCGCGCCAAUGCUCUGAUUGGCUGGGGAUUGCGAGACACUUCAGUCUGUAGCUCACACCUGGCAGAGCUGCAGACUGAAGGCUGGCUCUCACGGCAGACUGGAGGGGCCUCACACCCAGCGGCACACAGGGCAAGCCGCCUGGCCCCCUCCCGAUGUCGGGCCUUUGGUCAUGGACAGAGGGUCUGACAAGUCACUCUGCUGUAAGGUGAUUUAGGCGGCCGCGAGGCCCCAGUCAGCGCAAGGCCUUAGACGGCCAUCUAAAUUGCCUAAUUAGAGAGCCGCGCACCUCUGCCUGGUGGUCCAAUACUUUUCCUGGUGGUCUGGUGGGCUCCCUGUACAGCUGCAGGCCUUCUGUUCUGGCACUCUGUUAGGAAGUCAGAGAAGAGACUUGGAAUCCAGGCGCAUGCGCUCUGACUUCAUCACAGUGUCUCCCAACCAUGAGGAACCAUAAUUAGACCAUGGACCACCAAGUAAUUAUUUCUAAAGGGCUGUGCGGGGAGAUCUCUUGAUUUUCCAAUAAGCUCAGCGGGGUGGGGCCCUCUCAGAGCCAGAGCUAUAGUUUCAGACAGGAGCCCAGUGCCUAGGCGGGCACUUCGGUUGAUUUAUGGGUAAUCCAGCUCUGUAUCCGACAUCAUAGUGUUCGUGCAUUCUGCAUUAGGUGUUAAAGGAUAUUAUGUAAUAUGUUCUAGCUGUGCCGGUGUUCUAUCAGUUUGGUAUACCCCGUCAGAUUGCUAUACCCACGUCACUUCCGGGGAGGGGAAUCAGCUGUCUCCUGUGCUGCACAUGCGUGCUACUCCUCCACAGCAAGGUCCUGGAAGGUAAGUAAAACUAGUUUUACACUUUCAUUAUAGUUAGUGCAUUCACUAAGCUUAGGACAUGGGGCAUUUAGGGUUAAUGUUAGGGUUCAAAUUAGGGUUAGGAUUAGGGAAUUGUUCAUAUUUAGUGAUAUUUCACAUUAGGGGAAUAUCACUAAAUAGUGAUUUCUCACACUUUAUUUUAACCCUUACCCCAAUGGUUAGGGUAAGAAUAGAGUGUGAGAGCGGUUAGAAGCACUUACCUAACCCUAAUUUGUACCCUCACUUAACCCUAAAUGUCCCGUGUGCCUAAGCUUAGUGAAUGCACUAACUAUAAUGAAAGUGUAAAACUAGUUUUACUUACCUUCCAGGACAUUGCUGUGGAGGAGUAGCAGGAGUGCUAGCACGCAUGUGCAGCACAGGAGACAGCUGAUUCCCCUCCCCGGAAGUGACGUGGGUAUAGCAAUCUGACGGAGUAUACCAGACUGAUAGAACACCGGGAUAAAAUGUCAUAUGACAUGAAUAAAAAAAAUACAUUGAAAAUAAAUAAAUAAAAAUAGUGCAACCAACAGUUAACUUUUAGUUAUCAGGUUGGGCAGAAAAUAACCCCAAUAUAACAGUUUUGCAAAUUAUGUUCUAUUGUUUAAUUUUUUUCUAUUAAAAAUAGUUAGCUAUCCCUUAAUCAAAAGGUGUCUAUUAAUUAAACACUGAUUUGUAAUUAAUAGAAAGUAGAUUUUUUUUAAAAUUUGGGCUAAAAUCCCCAAGGUGUCAAUACACAGUUGCAAGAAAAAGUAUGUGAACCCUUUGGAAUGAUAUGGAUUACUGCACAAAUUGGUCAUAAAAUGUGAUCUGAUCAUCAUCUAAGUCACAACAAUAGACAAUCACAGUCUGCUUAAACUAAUAACACACAAAGAAUGAAAUGUUGCCAUGUUUUUAUUGAACACACCAUGUAAAUAUUCACAGUACAGGUGGAAAAAGUAUGUGAACCCUUGGAUUUAAUAACUGGUUGAAAAUCCUUUAGCAGCAAUAACUUCAGCCAAACGUUUCCUGUAGUUGCAGAUCAGACGUGCACAAUGGUCAGGAGUAAUUCUUGAUCAUUCCUCUUUACAGAACUGUUUCAGUUCAGCAAUAUUCUUGGGAUGUCUGGUGUGAAUCGCUUUCUUGAGGUCAUGCCACAGCAUCUCAAUCGGGUUGAGGUCAGGACUCUGACUGGGCCACUUCAGAAGGCAUAUUUUCUUCUGUUUAAGCCAUUCUGUUGUUGAUUUACUUCUAUGCUUUGGGCAGGGGCGGACUGAGACCCCCGGGCAAAAUAAAUCAAGGGCCCCCUUACAGGCCCCACCCAUACUCCUCAGCAAGCACCACCCUUGUCCCGCCUCCAUGCACCGCCUCCAGCCACACCCUACACAAUCUUUAGACACAAGGAACAAAAGUGCAAUAAUCCCUUUGAGGCCCCAGUAGAGACUACAAUUGAGGGCUAAUGGGCCAUGGAGGAGGGUCUUUCUAGCAGAGGCUAUCUCAGUGUCCUUUAGAGAGUGUGUUAGAAAGAAUCCCCUCCAAGCCCCAUUAGAGACUACAAUGGAGUCUAAUAGGCUUGGAAGGGGGUCUUUCUAACAGAGGCCAUCUCAUCGUCCAUUAGAUAGCCCCUGCUGGAAACAGUUGCCUCCAGUAGAGACUACAAUUGAGGGCUAAUGGGCCAUGGAGGGGGGGGGGGUCAUUCUAGCAGAGGCUAUCUCAGUGUCCUUUAGAGAGUGUGUUAUAAAGAAUCUCCUCCAGGCCCCAUUAGAGGUUACAAUGGAGUCUAAUGGGGCCUGGAGGGGGGUCUCUCCAACACUCUGUUUCCUAUUCACAAUAUAGCAACACAACAUAGCUGAUACCUAGGCCAAGUUGGCUCCUCUUACCUUAAUUACUGUUGCUGGCUGACAGGCUGUGGGCUUGCUGGCUGCGGCUGGCAGGCUGUGGGCUUGCUGGCUGCGGCUGGCAGGCUGUGGGCUUGCUGGCUGCGGCUGGCAGGCUGUGGGCUUGCUGGCUACUGCUGGCAGGCUGUGGGCUUGCUGGCUGCGACUGGCAGGCUGUGGGCUUGUUGGCUGUAAGCCUGUGGCUUGCUGUAGGCCUGUGGGCUGACUACUGGCCUGGCUGGCCUGUGGGCUGGCUAACUGGUGGCUUGUGGGCUGCCUGUGGGUUGGCUGGCUGGCCGGCCUGUGGGCUGGCUGGCUACUGGGGCACUUGUAGAUCAUUUAAAGAAAUAGUCCAUGCACAAUAACCACUACUGAUCUGUGUAGUGGUUAUGGUGCCAGGAGGGCCGGGCCCCCCUCCCAGAGUAAGUAGUCAAACCGUUUAAGAACAGUUUGACAACUUACCUGGGGUCUGCUGGGAUAUGGGGCUGUAGUAGGGUAUAGGAGCAGUGGUGGAAUGUGUGAAGGGUGCAGUGUGUGUGGGGGUGUAGUGUGUGAAUGUGUAGGGUGUGUGGGGCAAUGUGUGUAUGAGGGAGCUGUGUAUGUGUGUGGCAAUGUUAGUAUGGGGGGCUGUGUAUGGGGGUCUGUGUGUAUAUGGGUGGGCAGUGUAUGUGUGUGUGUGAGGCAAUGUGUGUAAAUGUGUAUGGUGUAUGUGGGGGCAGUGUGUGAAUGUGUAUGGUGUGUGGGGGCAGUGUGUGAAUGUGUAUGGUGUGUGUGGGGGGGCAGUGUGUUUAUGGUAUACAUACAUAAACAAGAUGGAGCUUCUUAAAAUGGCAAUAUAACAGAUAUUCUGUAAAAUAAAAUAUAAACCAUAGUGCAAUACAGUAGUAUAAAUAGAAUUAAAGGUAUACACAGUAGAUUUUUCACUCACAAGCCUGGAGUCAUAAUCUCAUAUUGUCAGGAUAGAGACAGGGAUCCAAUACGCAGAGUGCGGACAGAAGGAGGUACGUAUACCGGACCUUAGAAUGGCCGGACUAACGUAUGGACAAAACAAGAAUAGUCAAAAGGUAAGCCGAGGUCGAGGGAGCCGGAGGACAGGUAAGCGAGGGACAAGCCGGGUCAAAGGAGAGGAGAGGACAACAGGACAAAGGUACAAGCAAGNNNNNNNNNNNNNNNNNNNNNNNNNNNNNNNNNNNNNNNNNNNNNNNNNNNNNNNNNNNNNNNNNNNNNNNNNNNNNNNNNNNNNNNNNNNNNNNNNNNNACAAUAGCUAAUUAACCAGCAAUCAACAGCAAGUAACUAGCUUAAUCAAAUCAAAUGCCUUAUAAUUACCAACAGGAAUUCAAACCUUGUGCAAUCAAGUCACAGGCAGACACGUGGCAAAUCAUAUGGGUGGGGCAUUGUGAUGUCACAUGGGGGGGGCGGCAAACUUUACUUUUGCCUAGGGCGGCAAAAAUCCUUGCACUGGCCCUGGCUGGAGGGGGCUGUGUGAGCUGUGGCCGCACAGUGUCCCAUGGUAGUUAGGGUGCCGUGCGGCCAGUACAGCUCACACAAGCAAACAGCUGAUAAACUGGCCGCACGGAGGAAAUGUGUAUGUGUGACUGUCUGCCUGUGACUGUGUGUGACUGUCUGCCUGUAACUGAGCGUGUGACUGUCUGUCUGUAACUGAGUGUGUGACUGUCUGCCUGUAAAUGUGUGUGUGGGGCUGCAGGGAUUUUGUAGAAGGGGCGGGGUUUUGUAUUGGGACAGGAGUCUUUAUAAAUUGUAAAAGAGAGAACCUUAAAAAUUUUACAGGUUUUUUUCGGGAAGGGGGUGCCAAGCACAGGAUCCGCCCCGGGUGCCAAAUGCUCUAGGUACGCCCCUGAAGCAAGGUCAAAACCGAAAACACUAAGAGAGAGAACGCGCUGAGUGACUAGCAAGCUAGAACCACGACAGGGCAAUGAGCAGUAGUAAAAGUUCCCUUAAAUACCCUGUCACCUUAAUUGAGACCACGCCCCCAAAAGGUCCGGAAUUGCGGUUCCCGGCACUUCACGUAAAUGAUGACGUCAUGACGUCGACGCUAGCCGUCGCGUCAUAAGAGGGGGAGGAGUUAGCGCGGCCGGCGCGAAAACGGCCGGAAUUUGCCGAAAUGCUAGGGGAGGGGAGCCCCUAAGAAGAAAGGAUGUCCUCCUCGGAGGCAACACUAACAGGUAACCUGACAGUACCCCCCCUUCUAGAAACGCCCACCGGGCGGAUGGGACCGGGCUUAGAAGGGAAACGAACGUGGAAGGCCCGAAGAAGACGAGGAGCAUGCACGUCUUCACAAGGAACCCAAGACCUCUCUUCUGGACCAUAACCCUUCCAGUCAAUGAGGUAUUGCAACUUCCCCCUAGAAAUACUAGAAUCAAGAAUGGACCUAACGAUAUAUUCUUCCUGACCAUCCACACGGACCGAAGAUGGAGGAGCAGAGCGGGAGGAAAACCUGUUACAAACGAGAGGUUUCAAUAAAGACACAUGAAAAGAGUUAGGGAUGCGUAGAGUAGGAGGCAGGUCCAGCAAAUAAGAAACCGGGUUGAUCCUCCUCAACACCCUGUAAGGACCUAUGUAACGAGGAGCAAACUUCAAAGAAGGGACUUUCAAGCGAAUGUGUCUGGUACUCAACCAGACCCUAUCAUCCGGAGAAAAAACAGGAGCGGGCCGUCUACGCCUAUCAGCAUGCAUCUUAAACACCGCGGAACUACGCGUAAGAAUUUGUCGAGUCUGAUCCCACAACUUUCUCAGGUUGGCUAUAUGAACAUCAACCGACGAUAAACCCUGGGAAGGAGACACCGACGGAAGAAUAGUAGGGUUAAAGCCAUAGUUCAAGAAAAAGGGGCUAUUACGAGUGGAACCACAAACAAGAUUGUUGUGAGCAAACUCCGCCCAAGGAAUCAGACCGACCCAAUCGUCCUGGUGUUCAGAAACAAAACAACGUAGAUAUUGCUCAAUUUUCUGGUUAGUGCGUUCGGCUGCUCCGUUAGAUUGAGGAUGAUAGGCCGAAGAAAAAUUCAGCUUGAUGCCCAACUGGGAACAGAAGGAUCUCCAAAAACGGGAAAUAAACUGGGACCCCCUGUCAGACACAAUCUCAUUGGGAAUACCAUGCAAACGAAAAAUCUCCCUAGCAAAUAUCACGGCCAAUUCGGGAGAUGACGGAAGUUUAGGCAAGGGGAUGAAAUGAGCCAUUUUGGUAAACCUGUCAAGAACCGUGAGGAUAACAGUGUGUCUAUUGGAAACCGGCAAAUCAACAAUAAAAUCCAUAGCCAAGCUAGCCCAAGGUUUGUUGGAAACGACUAAAGGCUGCAAUAGACCAUAAGGAAGAUCCCGUGGUAGUUUAUUCCUGACACAAAUAUCGCAAGCCUUGACAAAGUCCUCCACAUCCCUCCGUAAACUGGGCCACCAGAAGUCUUUGGAAAUCAGGCAGCAAGUUUUGUGGAUGCCGGGGUGACCAGCAAAUUUGCUAUUGUGAAAACAACGAAUAAUGUCUACUUGGAAUUUGGGAGACACGAACAAGCGGCCCACAGGAGUACGCUCGGGAGCAAGAGAUUGUUCGUUCAUUAUAUCUACGAGUAAUGGAGAGUGUAUUUUGACAUUGGUGUUGGCGAUAAUGUUGAUUUCAGGAACAAUAGGGGACAAAGUGUCUUCUGUAGUGGUGAUAGGUUCGUGCUGAUGAGACAAUGCGUCUGCCUUGGUGUUUUUAGAACCAGGCCUGUAAGUAAGUAUAUAAUUGAAAUGUGUAAGGAACAUAGACCAACGUGCUUGUCUGGCAGAUAAUCUUUUGGCCUCCCCCAUAUAAGAUAAAUUUUUGUGAUCAGUCAAGAUAGUAACUGGGAGAACAGUGCCCUCUAACAGAUGUCUCCAUUCCUUUAAUGCCAUAAUAAUAGCUAAGAGUUCUCUGUCACCAAUAUCAUAUCUCCUUUCAAUGUGUGAUAAUUUCUUGGAAAAAAAAACGCAAGGGUGCAACGGCUUAUCUAAACCUUGUCUUUGGGACAAUACUGCGCCUAUCCCUGUUUCAGACGCAUCAACUUCAAGCAAAAAGGGUAGAGAGGUAUCAGGAUGAACUAAUACAGGUGCUGAGGCAAAAGUCUGUUUGAGCGUUUCGAAAGCAGAUAAUGCCUCAGUAGACCAUGUUUUAGUAUCGGCUCCUUGUUUAGUCAUAUUAGUGAUAGGAGCGAUAACAGAGGAGUACCCUUUAAUUAUUAUUAUUAUUAUUAUUGCCAUUUAUAUAGCGCCAACGGAUUCCGUAGCGCUUUACAAUAUUUUGAGAGGGGGGUGUAACAAUAAAUAGGACAAUUACAAGAAAACUUACAGGAACAAUAGGUUGAAGAGGACCCUGCUCAAACGAGCUUACAGACUAUUGGAGGUGGGGUGUUUGAAACAUUAGGACAAUAAAUAUCAAGUAGGAGUGAAGCAGAGCUGGAGGAGAGAGCAAAGCACUGUCCCAUAGGAGAGAGCAGGAGACAGGUAUGUAAGGUAGAGAUUACUCUGGGAGGCCAUAAGCUUUCCUGAAGAGAUGGGUUUUAAGGCCCUUCUUAAAUGAUUGAAGACUAGGGGAGAGUCUGAUGGCAGUAGGCAAGCUAUUCCAUAGGAGAGGAGCCGCCCGCGAGAGGUCCUGCAAGCGCGAGUUGGCCGUACGGGUGCGAGCAGCGGUCAGGAGGUGGUCACGGGCAGAGCGGAGGGUACGUGGAGGGGCAUAUUUAUGGAUCAGUGAAGAGAUAUAAGCGGGGCUAGAACUGUUCAGUGCUUUAAAUGUAUGGGUUAGCACUUUGAAUUGACUCCUAUAGCAUACAGGGAGCCAAUGUAAGGACCGGCAGAGGGGUGAGGUGUGAGAGGACCGACUAGAGAGGAAAAUCAGUCUAGCUGCAGCAUUCAUUACAGACUGUAGCGGGGCAAUACGGCUUUUGGGGAGACCAAUCAGGAGAGGGUUACAGUAAUCCAUGCGGGAAAUUACUAGAGCAUGGACAAGCUCCUUGGUAGCAUCUUGCGUAAGAAAGGGGCGAAUGCGGGCUAUGUUUUUGAGUUGGAACCUACAGGACUUGGCAACAAACUGGAUGUGAGACUCAAAGGUGAGACCAGAGUCAAGUAUGACGCCAAGACAGCGCGCUUGCAGGGAUGGACUUAUGUGGAUAUCACUGACUUGAAGGGAGAGCGAGAGAGGAGGAUCAGUAUUAGGAGGAGGAAAGACAAGGAGUUCAGUUUUAGAGAGGUUAAGUUUCAGAAAGCGUGAAGACAUCCAGUCAGAGAUGGAAGAAAGGCAAGCAGUGACACGUUGCAGGACAGCAGGGGAGAGGUCCGGGGAGGAGAGGUAUAUCUGAGUGUCAUCAGCGUACAGGUGGUAGUGGAAUCCAAAAGAGGCAAUCAGUUUACCAAGAGAGGCGGUAUAAAGAGAAAAUAGAAGGGGACCAAGGACAGACCCUUGGGGAACUCCAACCGAGACAGGACGAGUGGAGGAGGUAUCCUUGGAAAAGGAGACACUGAAUGAGCGUUGGGAGAGAUAGGAGGAAAACCAAGAGAGGACUGAGUCACAGAGACCGAGCGAUUGAAGAGUUUGAAGGAGGAGAGCAUGAUCAACGGUGUCAAAGGCAGCAGAGAGGUCAAGGAGAAUUAAUAUGGAGUAAUGACCUUUGGAUUUAGCGGAGAUUAGGUCAUUAGUCACUUUGAUAAGAGCAGUCUCAGUAGAGUGGAGAGGGCGGAAGCCAGACUGAAGAGGGUCAAGGAGAGAGUUGGAAUUAAGGAAGCGGGACACACGGGUAAAGACAAGCCUUCCAAAAGCUUUGAUGAGAAAGGGAGCAGGGAUAUGGGACGAUAGUUAGAAGGGGAGGAUGGGUCAAGAGAUGGUUUUUUCAGGAUAGGUAUUACAGUGGCAUGUUUAAGGUCAGCAGGAACAGUGCCAGAAGAGAGAGAGCAGUUAAAGAUGUGUGUUAGGGUAGGCACAAGACAAGGGGAGAGAGAUCUGAUGAGGUGAGAUGGGACAGGAUCGAGCGGGCAAGUGGUGGGGCGAGAGGAAUGGAGAAGCGCAGCCACCUCUUGUUCAGUAGCCGGGUAGAAAGUCUGGAGGGUAGGGAAAGCAAGAUUUACAUGUGGUUGAGAAAGAGAACGGCAAGGAGGGGAGAAUUGUUUCCUUAGCUGUUCAAUCUUGUCGGUAAAGUAGCAUGCAAAGCUAUCAGCUGUAAGGUUAGUUUGGGGGGUGGCCACAGCAGGGCGGAGAAGGGAAUUAAAGGUGUCAAAGAGGCGUCUGGGAUUGCGGGAGCAUGAACUAAUGAGAGAGGAAAAGUAUGACUGUUUGGCGAGGGCGAGGGCUGCGCUGUAUGAAAGCAACAUGAAUCUAUAAUGGAGAAAGUCUGCCUGGGUGCGGGACUUCCUCCAGGAGCGUUCAGCACAACGGGAGCAACUCUGCAGAUAGCGUGUUGAUUUAUUAUGCCAAGGUUGGGGUCGUGUCCUCCUCGAGGUGCAUGUUUUGAGUGGGGCUGCAGCGUUCAAGGCAGAUGUGAGGGUAGUGUUAUAUGUGGAGAUGGCCAGUGAGGGACAGGAGAGGGAAGGGAUGGAUAGCAGUUGUGAAUCAAUGUCAGCUGACAGCUGCUUGAGGUCAAUAGAGUUAAGGUUCCUCCUGAGCUGAGGGGGGUUAGGCUGAGAUUGUUGGGUGAGGGGGUAAUUGAGAGCAAAUGAUAAGAGGUGGUGAUCAGAGAGAGGAAAUGGGGUGUUGCAGAUAUUAGAUAUUGUACAUGAAGAAGAGAAAAUAAGGUCGAGGGUAUUGCCAGCUACAUGAGUGGGAGAAUUAGCCCACUGCAAAAGUCCAAGGGAGGAAGUGAUUGAAAGUAGUUUAGAGGCUGCUGGGGUCAAAGGUGGGUUAACGGGAAUAUUGAAGUCUCCAAGAAUUAGGGAUGGGAUGUUGGAAGAGAGGAAGUAGGGUAGCCAGGCAGCAAAGUGGUCAAGGAAGAGGAGAGGGGAACCAGGGGGACGAUAGAUUACGGCAAUGUUAGCAGAGAAGGGUUUGAAAAGGCGAAUUGAAUGAAUUUCAAAUGAUGGGAAAGAGAGGGAAGGGGGGGUAGACAGGGUUUUAAAGGUGCAGUGGGGUGAGAGAAGAAAACCUACACCGCCACCUUUAAUCUCUGCUUGUCUUGGGUUGUGGGUAAAGUGAAGACCACCAAAAGACAGUGAGGCAGGUGUAGCAGUAUCAGAGGGAGAGAGCCAUGUUUCUGUUAGUGCAAGUAUGUUUAGGGAGUGUGAGAUAAAUAGGUCAUGGAUGGAAGUAGAUUUAAAGGUGCUGCACACAGAGCGUGCAUUCCAGAGGGCAGCUUUAAAAGAGGAAUUAUAGUGAGAAUUACAUGGAAUGGGUAUUAGGUUGUUGUGGUUUCUGGUGUUUGUACCAGGUGGCUGAGAAGAGGAGGGACCAGGGUUUGGAGAGACAUCACCUGCUGCUAGGAGUAGUAGGAUGGAAACGUCUGUAAUAAUUAGAAAAUCCGAGAAAUCUUUGUAUGGCUUUGAGUCCCUUGGGUAAAGGCCAAUCUAAAAUCGAUUUUAGUUUGAUCGGGUCCAUCAUAAACCCGUCUUUGGAAAUUACGUAACCUAAGAAAGUUACCUGAGACUGAUCAAAGCUACAUUUCUCCAAUUUACAAUACAAUCCAUGUUGUAAAAGUUUCUGUAAUACCCUUCUGACUUGUCUGUGAUGUGAGUCAAUGUCCCUAGAAUGUAUUAGUAUAUCAUCCAAAUAUACAAUCACACAUUCGUGUUGAAAUUCUCGAAGGACCUCAUUAAUCAAGUCUUGGAAGACGGCCGGGGCAUUGCAUAGCCCAAACGGCAUUACGGUAUACUCAUAAUGUCCGUAACGGGUAUUAAAUGCUGUCAUCCAUUCAUCUCCUUGUUUAAUUCUCACCAAGUUAUAUGCUCCUCUCAAGUCAAGUUUGGUAAAAAUACUCGAGCCCUUUAGUCUGUCAAAGAGUUCAGUAAUCAAAGGAAUGGGGUAAGCAUUCCUGACGGUAAUUUUGUUCAAUCCCCGAUAGUCUAUGCAAGGACGUAAGGUACCGUCUUUCUUUUCUACAAAAAAGAAACCCGCCCCCGCCGGAGAAGAAGAUUUUCUAAUAAAUCCUUUGUCUAGAUUCUCCUUGAUGUAUUCCUCUAAAACUAAAUUUUCUUUGGUGGACAGAGGGUAUACCGUACCUCUAGGAGGCAUAGUACCAGGAAAAAGUUUAAUAGAACAGUCAUAAGACCUGUGGGGAGGUAAAGUAUCCGCCCUACUCUUAUCAAAUACAGACUUGAGAUCUAGAUACUGUGAUGGUAUCUGAACGUCUGUGGAUUGGGAAGAGUUGGUAUAAGAGUUUACUGGGCAAACAGAAGUGACUCUCUGCAGACAUUUUUCUCUACAACCAAUUCCCCAAGAAACGAUUUCUCCACCCUCCCAGUCUAUCUGAGGGUUGUGUCUCUUGAGCCAAGAGUAUCCUAGCACCACUGGGACUGCCGGGGAGGAAAUUAACAGGAGGGAAAUCAUCUCCUCGUGGAAGAUGCCAACAGUAAGUUUAACGGGUUUAGUCUCAUGGAAUAUUACUGGUUCAGAUAAAGGUCUACCAUCUAUGGCCUCAACGGCCAAGGGUGUAUCUCUCAGUUGGAAUGGGAGACAAUGCUUAUUAGCGAAAGUUUGGUCUAUAAAGCUUUCUACCGCUCCAGAAUCUAAUAACGCCAUCGUAGAUAUAGUACCACUUUUCCAAGCUAGAGAGACAGGAAUCAGAAGCCUAUGGUCUUUAUUAUUAUGCAUAGAGGACAGUAACGAAACACCCAAGACCCGUCCUCUAGGGGAACUUAGGUGCGAGCGUUUCCCGGGCGAUUAGGGCAACUAAGACGUAGGUGACCUCUCCGCCCGCAGUAUAAACAGAGACCCUCCCUUCUUCUGUACUGUCUCUCGGCCUCAGAUAAGCGAGUAUUACCUAUUUGCAUAGGUUCUGGUGGAGUAGGAUUAUAGGAGUCAGGGUUCUGGAAUGAGGGAGCAAGUCUUACCGGAGGUCUACUAACCCUUUCCCGAGUAUUCUGCCUCUGUCUCAUGCGUUCAUCUACUCUGGAAAUGAAAGACACUAAAUCUUCUAAAUUUUCCAGAAGUUCUCUUGUGGCAAUCUCAUCUAGAAUCUCAUCAGACAACCCAUUCAGGAAUACAUCCAUAAAAGCUUGUUCGUUCCAUUUCACCUCUGCUGCCAAUGAUCUAAACUCUAAAGCAUAUUCUACAAGGGUUCUAUUCUGUUGUUUAAGGCGUAACAGAGAUCUGAUUGAAAGACAGACCUAAUAGUUCAGGGAAAACAGGACGCCCCCUGGUGAAUACUUAUAUAUAUAUAUAUACAAAAGAGGUAAAACAUAACCUUUAAUUGUUGCUGUAAUAAAAAUACUCUAGCAAAAAGCUUAGAAAGAAUAUAUACAAAUGUUUAAAAUUGGGAGGAUAUAUGCCUGGAAGGGGAUAAUAAUCCUGAGGGAAUCACCUAAAGGAUCUCAAGCUGAAUAGAGCUGAAAAUCCCCCCAACCAGUAAAGUACAUCUCUUAGUGAUGGUACCUCUAAAACUUGCCUAGAUAAAGAGAGACAAUUCCUCUAUGCUUGCUAGAUAGACUCUUAUCCAAAAGUCUCUUAUACCACUAACUGAAAUAAAAUCCAAUAGGGUAAGAAAGUAGCAACUAUAUAAAUCCUUGUGAACAGAUUGUAGCAAGAAAUAGUAGAAAAGGUCCAUUAACUGUGUGAUCAUCCACUAGUCUGAAUACGGUAACUAGAUAGAUACAGUGUGAUAAGUAUCAUAGCAAUAUUGUACGCCUGUUACUGAGGGAUGGAGGAAUGGGGGAAAAGAAGGCAGCUAUAUUCAAGUCAGUAGUACUGGAAGAAGCUAUCACAUAAUAAGCUUAACAGAGUCUUGUAGAAACAGUAGAAACACAUCCUCUGCUGGGAAUUGUGGGAACCGCAGGGAGCAUGACAGAGAGACAUGCUCCUCCUCCUUCCGUCCUCAGCGUUAGUGAGAGGACAGGAGUGCCGCCGGACCGGCGAGGCUGCCACCCGGCCCGGCGGCUCCAGCAUGAAACGCGGCCGGACACCUCAGUCCCCAGAUGCCACCCCCAAUCCAGCCCUGCAGCCGGGCCCCCUGAUGGCGGCCCUGGCGGCGGGCCCCCCUCCCGGCAGGGCCCUCGGACCAUGUCCGAAGUGCCCAACCGGUCAGUCCGCCCCUGGCUUUGGGUCAUUGUCCUGUUGCAACACCCAUCUUCUGUUGAGCUUCAGCUGGUAGACAGAUGGCCUUAAGUUCUCCUGCAAAAUGUCUUGAUAAACUUUGGAAUUCAUUUUUCCUUCGAUGAUAGCAAUCCGUCCAGGCCCUGAUGCAGCAAAGCAGCCCCUAACCAUGAUGCCCCCACCACCAUACUUCACAGUUGGGAUGAGGUUUUGAUGUUGGUAUGCUGUGCCUUUGUUUCGCCACACAUAGUGUUGUGUGUUUCUUCCAAACAACUCAACUUUGGUUUUAUCUAUCCACAGAAUAUUUUGCCAGUACUGCUGUGGAACAUCCAGGUGCUCUUGUGCAAACUGUAAACGUGCAGCAAUGUUUUGUUUGGACAGCAGUGGCUUCCUCUGUGGUAUCCUCCAAUUAAAUCCAUUCUUGUUUAGUGUUUUACGUAUUGUAGAUUCGCUAACAGGGAUGUUAGCAUUUGCCAGUGACUUUUGUAAGUCUUUAGCUGACACUCUAGGAUUCUUCUUCACCUCAUUGAGCAGUCUGCGCUGUGCUCUUGCAGUCAUCUUUACAGGACGGCCACUCCUAGGGAGAGUAGCAGCAGUGCUGAACUUUCUCCAUUUAUAGACAAUUUGUCUUACCGUGGACUGAUGAACAGCAAGGCUUUUGGAGAUACUUUUAUAACCAUUUCCAGCUUUAUGCAAGUCAACAAUUCUUAAUCGUAGGUCUUCUGAGAGCUCUUUUGUGCGAGGCAUCAUUCACAUCAGGCAAUGCUUCUUGUGAAAAGCAAACCCAGAACUGGUGUGUGUUUUUUAUAGGGCAGGGCAGCUGUAACCAACACCUCCAAUCUCAUCUCAUUGAUUGGACUUCAGUUGGCUGACAUCUCACUCCAAUUAGCUCUUGGAGAUGUCAUUAGUCUAGGGGUUAACAUACUUUUCCCCCCUGCACUGUGAAUGUUUACAUGGUGUGUUCAAUAAAAACAUGGCUACAUUUCAUUCUUUGUGUGUUAUUAGUUUAAGCAGACUGUGAUUGUCUAUUGUUGUGACUUAGAUGAUGAUCAGAUCACAUUUUAUGACCAAUUUGUGCAGAAAUCCAUAUCAUUACAAAGGGUUCACAUACUUUUUCUUGCAACUGUAGCUAUGGUAGCGAUUUUCUUUCCAUAUCAGUUGUUGCCUUCAUUUUUAAAAUUUGGCUUUCGGUUCAGUACAAUUUAUCCUAUAGCAGCACAGAAAACAAGUAAAUAGUAACUGGCUUUUUCUAUUUUUAAAACAAAAUAAAAAACAUAUGAAUAAAUAUAUAAAUAAAACACACCUCGUAAACUAUAAAUAGUCUUAAAGGAAGGAGAUAAACUGCUAGAGGCCUGCACUGUUCUGGUUUCAGUUACUUUGUCACCAAAAAUGUAUCAUUUGCUACAAAUGUGUGAGGUCAGAAAGCAGCAAAUUUAUCAAGUCUCCCCCUCUCUUAUAAUCUUAGGAUUGUCUCUGUCUAGCGACUAUGUGAUAAUCUAUGGAAGAAAUAGUGUUAUAUUUCUUAGUGAAUGGAGGGGGAGAGUCUGUCACAUGAAUAAACUGGGUUAGUACCGGUAAAUUAUAGCUUCCAAGAGACCCAUUAUCCCACAGAUAUAUCUUUCCAUUUGCCCUAUUAUGUAAUGUAGAAUAAUUGACUCAUGUCAUGUUGGGCUUUCUAGUGAUAUUUUCAUUAUCUUUGGGCUCCAAAGGAAUAUCUAUCAUUAAAGCAACAUAGAAAUGACAGCAUGGGCUGCUGACCUCAAUAGGACCCUCUUUGGGCUGCACAGAUAAAAUAUUUAAAAUGCAAAGUGGGGCCCAUACUUAUUCCUGGCCUGCUUGCAAUAACAUUUCUGUUUCAUUUAUCUUUUUGUUCUUAUCAGUCUUUGUAGAAAUUUCUAAAUAUAUAUGAGGUCUUGAAAUGACACUAAUGUAGUUCUAUGCUAUGUGCCUUUAAACAUAGAAUAAUGCCUGAUAUGCCAUUACUUAUGAAAGGGCAAUUGUUUAUUUACUUACCAAAUAAACUGGGCUAUAACUGCUAUUAAUGCCCUUUGUACAACGCUACGGAAUCUGAUGGCGCUAUAUAAAUAAUAAAAUAAUAAUAAAAUAAUAAUUAAUAAAGUAUACUUUCCUUUUAAAGGAGCAGCUACGACCGGGCUGUCACUCCAGUGGUCUGACUGCUGUGUUGAGCCCUGCUGAUGCACAGGGCUACCGGGAAAUUUCACGGUGAGAUGGUAUAACUUCAGCUCCUAAAUGGUCGCAUUGGCCUGGGGUGCACAGUGGCCGGGCGACCGGCAGGAGGGGAGAGCACAGUAUAGCACUCCCCUCUUGUCGGUUACUGCAUGUAGCAUGGCUGAGUGGACACAUGGGGAGCUGCUGGGGGGGGGGAUGAGUCACAUUGGGGACUGGGGGGGGGGGGGGGGACACAUAUUGGGCCCCAGGUCAAUUUGUGAACCAGGGCCCAGUGGUUUCUAGUUAUGCCUCUGGCACCAGAACUACUUCAUUCUACUGAAGUUUUUAUGGUGCUAUGACCAUGACAGAGUUUUCCUUUAACACCAGGACUCUGCAUGGCGUUCACAAGAGAAAGGCUACAUAUAACCUGGCUUCAUCCUUUUUGCUGAUAUCAGUAAUAUAAGCCCUUAUGCCUAUUUACAGUUUCACCUCUCAGGGUUAUUAGUGACAACUUCUAGGAAUUCAUGUAGUUUAGUCAAAGUGAUUCAAAUAUAAGGUCAGAGUGGCGGAACUUUAAGCAUAUCUGACUUGGAGAAUAUUUCCAGUUUGGUUACUUUGGCCUCAACUUUGAAGAUCACUUUGAAUUCCUGCCAAUGCUCACUUCAAUUAAUAAAUAACCCUGUAAGUGUGAAGAAUGAGAAGUAUUUUUCUAUGAUACAACGAUGUUGCUUAGUUGAACAACAGGGAAUUCUGGUGAAUUGAUUAGAAAACUAAAAAAAAAUUACAGCAAGGUAGUCCAUUAGGAAAAAUUUUUUUUAAUGUAUUCUCCAUUUGGGACUCUAUUACAGGAGAACUACCAAGAGACAAUGGUAGGCUUCUGAGACUCACAAAAAGGAGCAGUGAAUACAUGGGGUGAAUCACAUUCUAAAAAACAUUUCUAAGAUCCUCUUACUACACCACAUCCUGUCUCCAACCUUCCGUCCUAUCAAGAAAAGUAAUUGAAAAUGUGCAUUAAUAUGUGUAAUGAGAUGUGCAAUACAUUUUUUCCCUCUUCUGUCAAUGUUUGUUAAGUUACCUGAAACCGGAAUAUAAAAAAUUGGAAAUAUUCUU